RNAcentral lists this ribosomal RNA (277 nucleotides) under Candidatus Saccharimonadota bacterium. Its description in RNAcentral is "partial 23S ribosomal RNA". It matches the Rfam family "Bacterial large subunit ribosomal RNA", at positions 2640 to 2925 of the family's 2925-position model. Lineage: Bacteria; Candidatus Saccharimonadota. The record is from RNAcentral.
AUCCGCUGUGGACGCUAGGAAACUUGAGGGAAUCUGUCUCUAGUACGAGAGGACCGAGAUGGACGCACCGCUGGUGUACCAAUUGUCGUACCAACGGCAUUGUUGGGUAGCUAAGUGCGGACUAGAUAAGCGCUGAAAGCAUAUUAAGCGCGAAACUAAUCCCAAGAUUAGGUUUCCCUAUGACCUCCCUGAAAGACGAUCAGGUUGAUAGGCGCAAGGUGAAAGUGCGGUAACGUAUUGAGCCGAAGCGUACUAAUAGAGGCAUUGACUUUUUACG